This 458-nucleotide long non-coding RNA is filed under the name Marmota monax (woodchuck). The record is from RNAcentral. Lineage: Eukaryota; Metazoa; Chordata; Mammalia; Rodentia; Sciuridae.
GACCCCCAAAUAACUAAAGGCAUUACCUCUAUAUUGAAGAAAAUAUAAAAUAAUAUUAACCACAGAUUUCAUUAUUUUGGUGUGAGAAUGUGAUGGGAUAUAUAAAAAAAUGCUUUGCUUAUUUGAGAAAUAAAUUGAAAUAGAUAUUUAAAGAUAAUCUUGAUAAAUAAUAGUCAUCUUAAAAAUUAAAUUUGAAAACAGAAAACUAGCUUUUGUGGGUAAAUAAAAGCCAAUACUACAAAUACAGGUAGGGGACCAUUUUUCUUAGAAAAGGAAACUUAUAGUACUUUAAGAAAAAUGGAACAAACUCUCUCUACAAUUCAAUAUAAUAUACUUCACAGAAAUAGAAAUCAAAGUAAAUUAACCCAAGUAGAAAUUAACUUUGGCCAUAACCCCAUGUAAGUCUUUGCAUCAUUAUACCAGAUAAUCUAUAAAUAGUAUUGACAAGGCUGAAUUGG